Molecule: transfer RNA, 65 nt
Filed under: Dipodomys ordii (Ord's kangaroo rat)
Lineage: Eukaryota; Metazoa; Chordata; Mammalia; Rodentia; Heteromyidae
Rfam family: tRNA
About the family: Transfer RNA (tRNA) molecules are approximately 80 nucleotides in length. Their secondary structure includes four short double-helical elements and three loops (D, anti-codon, and T loops).
Source: Rfam by way of RNAcentral
GAUGGCUCAGUGGUAGAGUGCUUGCCUUGCAUGCAUGAAGCCCUGGGUUUGAUUCCUCAGCAUCA